GAAAUAAUGGAGCCCAAAUGGGGCUAAAUAAAAACCAUAAAAUUGAAAUCGAAAUCGAAAUCGAAACCGUGUGAAAUCCUGAAAUCCCCAAUCUCUCUUUCAGUUCAAAGGCAGCCGUGACUCGCGAGAGGCAAGACUUCUUCCCCAUCGUCAAAGCUGCAGCUCUCCCACGCCGGUCUCCUAGCCGCUAGCCUCUUGUAUGUAUUUCCCUCGAAGUCUGUAACUGUAGUUUCAUUUCUCCUCUUCUCCUACCCUUACCAUUUACCAAUAUGCCUGCACUUAUGUAGUUAUGUUCGACUUUCACAAGUUUCAUUUGAGUGGUCUAUCCUUUCCUGGAUUUGUUUGUCUUUUGCUGGAUUUCAUUUUGCCUGCAAUGGACUUAUGCACAAUAUGCCUUCACUUAUGAUCAAUGGACUGCCAUGCAAAUAAGCUAAUGUUUACUUGACUUCAACUGUUGCUUUGUUAAUGAGUCCAUAAACACUUUAGAUUUUUGUUUCUUCCCUGCCAUGAAAGUCCCUUCCAGUUCACACCAUAGUAAAGAACAAAUGCUAGGAUUUUGUUUUAUUAUUAUUAUUAUUAUUUUUUUUUUUCUGCUAUAAAAGAUCCAAUUGACUUUGUUCCUUUGUAUUUUUUAAUGACCUUUAGUAAGUCUACUGGUCAAACUUUUUCGCGUUGUAAAUCUCUUAUUUUCUUGGUCUGGCUAGCAUAACAUUUCCAAGUUGAUUAGCAGUAACUGAAUAAAAUUUUUCAGAUUCUAGUGGAAAAAGAAUGGAUUUUACUUGAAGUUUUUAUAUAGACUUUACUGGUAUGAAUUUCUCUGGCAUGGAUGUUACCAAGAUAGUUUUCAUUGUCUUUUCCAAUUUGGCGAGGGAUGCGUUGGCAAUUCAAGUUUCAACUAUUGCUUCAAAAAGUGCAUUUAGUACUGGAGGAAGGAUCAUUGAUCCUUUCCGUGAUCUUUAAGUCCUAAAAUGGUGGAGGUCUUGGUAUGCAUUCAAAAUUGGUUGAAAGCUUCACCGAACUUGGAUGGUUUCUACAUGGAAGAUGUUGAGCAUUACAACCAAUUGGAUGGAAGUUAUAUAUAUAUUGAUCAAGGGCCCAACGCUAAGUGAUUCAUUCAUUUUACAAGUUUCCAGGUAGACACAUUUAUCAGUCAAUAGUUUCAUAUAAAUAUAUGUUUCCAAUAGUUUCUGUACAAUUUAGAAUCAAGUUUUUAUGCUGAGUUUUUGGCCAACUUGCUGUUUUUAUUGCAAAUUAGUGCAUGAUUAUGACAUCCAAUAAUUCAAAUAUUAUUGAAUUGUUUCAUACAGACUUAUUGUUUUCUCAAAACAUGAAUCCUGUUGUCAAUCUGUUAUGGAGAUGGUCUUAUUUUUUUGGAAAUGUGACUUCCUAAUUUAUCUAUGCUAUGUUCCUAAUCUGACUAAUGCAUCAAUUUGAAAUGUUGAUAUGUUUUUAGUCUGUGGCCUAUCAAAUUCAUUAAUAGCAUAAAAAUGAAGUGUACCUGAAAUGAUCAGCAUAAUUUCUAAGUGGCCUUACAUAUUUCUUUGGAGGGAAUAGGCUAUGGUGGUCUGUUUGUAGAAUAUACUUCCCUGGAAUAUGGAUGUAAUACCUUAAUGCUUCCUUGUCUUUCACCAUUUUAUUUCAGGCAGACUUUUUCUUGACGUGUAUCUUAGCAAAUGGGCUAUCUGGAUUUUCUCUGGAGCUUCUUCAUCCUGGUCUGCUUAUCUGGAUUCUGGGAUAUGAUGAAGUCACGCAAAUAGAAGACCAAAUUGGAAGAAAUGUGAUGGUUAUUGGGAUGAUUAAUUUUGUAUUUACAUUUUAGGUUUGAUGAUUGGAAUUAUUUAGCAUUUUUAUUUCAGUAAUUUGUGUGGUUGACGUCUUGAUGGGUUUUUAUUGUCCAACUGGUGUUUAUGGUUUUUACUUUUUGUUGUCUAACAAAUUUUUUUUUUUUUUUGGUUCGAAGUCCAAACCGAC
RNAcentral lists this long non-coding RNA (1971 nucleotides) under Olea europaea subsp. europaea. The record is from RNAcentral. Lineage: Eukaryota; Viridiplantae; Streptophyta; Magnoliopsida; Lamiales; Oleaceae.